CCCGGGGCGGCUUACCAUGCAAGUCGAACGAUGAACCGCUUUCGGGCGGGGAUUAGUGGCGAACGGGUGAGUAACACGUGGGCAAUCUGCCCUGCACUCUGGGACAAGCCCUGGAAACGGGGUCUAAUACCGGAUAUGACCGUCUGCCGCAUGGUGGAUGGUGUAAAGCUCCGGCGGUGCAGGAUGAGCCCGCGGCCUAUCAGCUUGUUGGUGAGGUAGUGGCUCACCAAGGCGACGACGGGUAGCCGGCCUGAGAGGGCGACCGGCCACACUGGGACUGAGACACGGCCCAGACUCCUACGGGAGGCAGCAGUGGGGAAUAUUGCACAAUGGGCGAAAGCCUGAUGCAGCGACGCCGCGUGAGGGAUGACGGCCUUCGGGUUGUAAACCUCUUUCAGCAGGGAAGAAGCGAAAGUGACGGUACCUGCAGAAGAAGCGCCGGCUAACUACGUGCCAGCAGCCGCGGUAAUACGUAGGGCGCAAGCGUUGUCCGGAAUUAUUGGGCGUAAAGAGCUCGUAGGCGGCUUGUCACGUCGGUUGUGAAAGCCCGGGGCUUAACCCCGGGUCUGCAGUCGAUACGGGCAGGCUAGAGUUCGGUAGGGGAGAUCGGAAUUCCUGGUGUAGCGGUGAAUUGGCGUAGAAA
Molecule: ribosomal RNA, 643 nt
Filed under: Streptomyces violascens
Lineage: Bacteria; Bacillati; Actinomycetota; Actinomycetes; Kitasatosporales; Streptomycetaceae
Description: bacterial SSU rRNA
Rfam family: Bacterial small subunit ribosomal RNA
Source: RNAcentral